CGCGCAGGCGGUCCUUUAAGUCUGAUGUGAAAGCCCACGGCUUAACCGUGGAGGGUCAUUGGAAACUGGAGGACUUGAGUACAGAAGAGGAGAGUGGAAUUCCACGUGUAGCGGUGAAAUGCGUAGAGAUGUGGAGGAACACCAGUGGCGAAGGCGACUCUCUGGUCUGUAACUGACGCUGAGGCGCGAAAGCGUGGGGAGCGAACA
Molecule: ribosomal RNA, 207 nt
Filed under: uncultured Bacillaceae bacterium
Lineage: Bacteria; Bacillati; Bacillota; Bacilli; Caryophanales; Bacillaceae
Description: partial 16S ribosomal RNA
Rfam family: Bacterial small subunit ribosomal RNA
Source: RNAcentral